This is a non-coding RNA of Polypterus senegalus (gray bichir), 71 nucleotides long. NCBI's taxonomy places the organism in Eukaryota, Metazoa, Chordata, Cladistia, Polypteriformes, Polypteridae. The record is from the annotation of a RefSeq genome assembly.
GCAUUGGUGGUUCAGUGGUAGAAUUCUCGCCUGCCACGCUGGAGGCCCGGUUUCGAUUCCCGGCCAAUGCA